UGAGUCACAGGGGUCAUGCUGAAGGG
This 26-nucleotide non-coding RNA is filed under the name Mus musculus (house mouse). The record is from RNAcentral. Lineage: Eukaryota; Metazoa; Chordata; Mammalia; Rodentia; Muridae.